GAACGUAUGGCUCAGUCGGUCAGAGCGCUUCGACGGUUUCCAAAGAAGCAGAGGUUCAAAUCCCGCUACGUUCA
Molecule: transfer RNA, 74 nt
Filed under: Heliconius melpomene (postman butterfly)
Lineage: Eukaryota; Metazoa; Arthropoda; Insecta; Lepidoptera; Nymphalidae
Description: tRNA HMEL009699
Rfam family: tRNA
About the family: Transfer RNA (tRNA) molecules are approximately 80 nucleotides in length. Their secondary structure includes four short double-helical elements and three loops (D, anti-codon, and T loops).
Source: RNAcentral